UCUGCCUGUGCUGGUUUGUCUCCCAAAAUGCUCCCUGAGCUGCCUGCAGAGGGGUUGGGAAGCCCAAAUUCCAGCCACAGAGAUGGGGACACCCUGCCAGGCAGCUGCAAACCCAGCUGCCAACACCUGGACCUGCAGGGAGCCCCAUCCCCACCAAUGCCCAGGGCUGGCAGAGCUCACACACCACCAGAGGAGCAGCACAGAGAUCCAGCCACCCAGCCUGGAUGCUCAGGAAAAGCUCCAUGGAGACAUCCUGAGACCUGUGGAAUAAGGGCAGAGGAGGCCUUCCUCUGAGCUGAUGGUUUCAUUCCCCUUUAAAGACCUGCCUGUGGGUAAUUAAAGCUCCUGUUUCUAAGCUGCUUGGUAUUUUAAUUGAUUUUCUGCACUGGCUGCCCACAGUGUAGUCAUUCAAAUCUUGCAAGCCCCGAGUGAGCAGCAAAGGAAAAGUGACCUCCCCACGAGUCCUUUGUGGUGGGAACUGGUUUGGACUGGGAAUGCUGCUGGUGGGACCACCUGGGUGCCAAGCCAUGCCCUGAUCUCCACCCUGGAGCAGCCCAGGGCAGGAAGAGCUUCCCAGCCUGGCUUUGUACCUGUCAUUUCUCUGGGAAUUUCCUCUGGGCUGUCCAGCAGAGACUGAUCUCCUGCAUGGUCAGAUUCUCCUCAGGAGAAAAGUGGGACCAUGGAAACAAAGAAGGACCCCAGAGCUGAUGACAAGUAAGCCAGGCUUUGGAGUGGAAAAAUUAAGCUCUGGCAAGCUGGUUUGAAAAAAAAAUCACUGUCAGUGGGAUAGGAUUCCUAAAUCUGCAGAGGGACUGCAGGAGGUCACAUCUCCAAAUCCAGAGAUAAAGGCUUUUCCCCAGCAGCCUGCUCCAGACUGGGACCUGGGAAACACCGAGAGUUUGCACCUUGUGGCUGCAGCAGCUGCCCCAGUGCCAGAGGGACUGAUAACAGAGCGACCACCCCAGGAGAGACUUUCUGGAUUUGUCAUCUUUGUCAGAGCGGUGACAGAGUGGUGUCACCCGCUAUUGUUCAUUUUGUGUGCUGGGGGUGCAGUGCCUGGUAA
This is a long non-coding RNA of Serinus canaria (Common canary), 1063 nucleotides long. RefSeq lists it as uncharacterized. The transcript has 3 exons. NCBI's taxonomy places the organism in Eukaryota, Metazoa, Chordata, Aves, Passeriformes, Fringillidae. The record is from RefSeq and is a predicted model, not a curated record.